Molecule: ribosomal RNA, 255 nt
Filed under: uncultured bacterium
Lineage: Bacteria
Description: partial 16S ribosomal RNA
Rfam family: Bacterial small subunit ribosomal RNA
Source: RNAcentral
GACGUAGGGCGCGAGCGUUGUCCGGAUUUAUUGGGCGUAAAGAGCUCGUAGGCGGUGUGUCACGUCGGCCGUGAAAACCUGCAGCUUAACUGUGGGCGUGCGGUCGAUACGGGCAUCACUGGAGUUCGGCAGGGGGAGACUGGAAUUCCUGGUGUAGCGGUGAAAUGCGCAGAUAUCAGGAGGAACACCGGUGGCGAAGGCGGGUCUCUGGGCCGAUACUGACGCUGAGGAGCGAAAGCGUGGGGAGCAAACAGG